RNAcentral lists this unclassified non-coding RNA (297 nucleotides) under uncultured fungus. Its description in RNAcentral is "partial contains small subunit ribosomal RNA, internal transcribed spacer 1, and 5.8S ribosomal RNA". The stretch from base 1 to 73 matches the Rfam family "Eukaryotic small subunit ribosomal RNA", at positions 1759 to 1831 of the family's 1831-position model. Lineage: Eukaryota; Fungi. The record is from RNAcentral.
GCAAACUUGGUCAUUUAGAGGAAGUAAAAGUCGUAACAAGGUCUCCGUUGGUGAACCAGCGGAGGGAUCAUUACAGAGUUUACAACUCCCAAACCCACUGUGAACCUUACAGCGUCGUUGCCUCGGCGGACCGCCCCCGGCGCGGCCCCUCUCAGGGGGCGCCCGGGACCACGGCGCCCGCCGGAGGACCCAAAACUCUUGUAUUUGCAGGAUGCAUUGCUCUGAGUGAAAACAAGCAAAUGAAUCAAAACUUUCAACAACGGAUCUCUUGGUUCUGGCAUCGAUGAAGAACGCAGC